GAAAGGAGAGUACCUAUAAAGGAUGGUGCAUACUUGGCCAAGGAGUAUGGACUCUCAUUUUAUGAAUGCAGUGCUGCCUCCGGUCACAAUGUGAUUGAAUCUAUGGUCGAAUUAGUCAGGUUGCUGAAAGUGCAUGAAGACCAGUUAAAACAGGAGGUUCUGCAGUUACCA
Long non-coding RNA from Elgaria multicarinata webbii, 171 nucleotides. RefSeq lists it as uncharacterized. The transcript has 3 exons. The record is from RefSeq and is a predicted model, not a curated record. Lineage: Eukaryota; Metazoa; Chordata; Lepidosauria; Squamata; Anguidae.